GGGGAAUAUUGGACAAUGGGCGCAAGCCUGAUCCAGCCAUGCCGCGUGAGUGAUGAAGGCCUUAGGGUUGUAAAGCUCUUUCAGUGGGGAAGAUAAUGACGGUACCCACAGAAGAAGCCCCGGCUAACUUCGUGCCAGCAGCCGCGGUAAUACGAAGGGGGCUAGCGUUGUUCGGAUUUACUGGGCGUAAAGCGCACGUAGGCGGAUUGGUCAGUUAGGGGUGAAAUCCCAGAGCUCAACUCUGGAACUGCCCUUAAUACUGCCAGUCUAGAGUCCGGAAGAGGUAAGUGGAACUCCUAGUGUAGAGGUAGAAUUCGUAGAUAUUAGGAAGAACACCAGUGGCGAAGGCGGCUUACUGGUCCGGUACUGACGCUGAGGUGCGAAAGCGUGGGGAGCAAAC
RNAcentral lists this ribosomal RNA (400 nucleotides) under uncultured bacterium. RNAcentral's name for it is "bacterial SSU rRNA". It matches the Rfam family "Bacterial small subunit ribosomal RNA", at positions 356 to 773 of the family's 1533-position model. The record is from RNAcentral.